Molecule: ribosomal RNA, 464 nt
Filed under: uncultured bacterium
Lineage: Bacteria
Description: partial 16S ribosomal RNA
Rfam family: Bacterial small subunit ribosomal RNA
Source: RNAcentral
GACGAACGCUGGCGGCGUGCUUAACACAUGCAAGUCGAACGGUAAGGCCCCAGCUUGCUGGGGUACACGAGUGGCGAACGGGUGAGUAACACGUGGGUGACCUGCCCCGCACUUCGGGAUAAGCCUGGGAAACUGGGUCUAAUACCGGAUAGGACCGCACCGUGAGGGUGUGGUGGAAAGUUUUUCGGUGUGGGAUGGGCCCGCGGCCUAUCAGCUUGUUGGUGGGGUAAUGGCCUACCAAGGCGGCGACGGGUAGCCGGCCUGAGAGGGUGGACGGCCACAUUGGGACUGAGACACGGCCCAGACUCCUACGGGAGGCAGCAGUGGGGAAUAUUGCACAAUGGGCGGAAGCCUGAUGCAGCGACGCCGCGUGGGGGAUGACGGCCUUCGGGUUGUAAACUCCUUUCACCAUCGACGAAGGUUUUCUGACGGUGGAUGGAGAAGAAGCACCGGCUAACUACGUG